Long non-coding RNA from Xenia sp. Carnegie-2017, 692 nucleotides. RefSeq lists it as uncharacterized. Lineage: Eukaryota; Metazoa; Cnidaria; Anthozoa; Malacalcyonacea; Xeniidae. The transcript has 2 exons. The record is from RefSeq and is a predicted model, not a curated record.
GAAAGCAACGAAGUCAGACAUGAGUGACAACUGCAUAAGAGGAAAGUCAGGAGUCUCAAAAAGGAAAGCUAGGAAAAAACCAACGGUCACUUCGCUUAUGCCUAACCGCACACACUUGACAAAAGAUGCCCGCGUCCACCUAAACGCAACGGCCGGAGUAGUUCCCAGUCCGUUAUAUCAAUCGAUGAACUUGGGUAGAAGAGGAGCACUCUUUGGUCAAAACUAUCACGUUUCAAGUCUGAGAUACGUAAACAGAGACGAUUCCAGGCCCCGGUUUACUCCGCCUAUGUUCAAGGCGAUAAAUUGAUCGAGGUAUAUUGUCCUACUGUUGGCCGUGGAUUUAAUCCGCGCUACAAUUCACUUCUGAUUGAACCUGAUGUUCAACUUUUCUUACCAAGAAUCACAGGAGUGAGCACAAGCAUGUCGCAAGCCAUGGAAGAUCUAUACACUUUUCAUCGCAUAGCUACAGAGUUUACUAUUCCACCCAUAAACAUCGUUGAUUAAAACAACUCCUUUAGUAAAAAGCAACGAUGCACAUACUUAAAAUUGUAUUGAAAUGUCUUAGACAUAGUUGAGUGAUAAGCUCUGAAUUGUAGUGCAUAUCGUAAGAUAAUGUCUAAACGCCAUAGUUGUAGUGACGUUUUUCUACAAGAGAAACUUUUCACGACACAAUAAAAUUGCUUCACCAAAAA